This 468-nucleotide ribosomal RNA is filed under the name uncultured bacterium. RNAcentral's name for it is "partial 16S ribosomal RNA". It matches the Rfam family "Bacterial small subunit ribosomal RNA", at positions 28 to 507 of the family's 1533-position model. The record is from RNAcentral.
GACGAACGCUGGCGGCGUGCUUAACACAUGCAAGUCGAACGGAAAGGCCCUGCUUUUGUGGGGGGCUCGAGUGGCGAACGGGUGAGUAACACGUGAGUAACCUGCCCUGGACUUUGGGAUAACUUCAGGAAACUGGGGCUAAUACCGGAUAGGAGCGCCUGCUGCAUGGUGGGGGUCGGAAAUUUUCGUCGUGUGGGGAUGGACUCGCGGCUUAUCAGCUGGUGGGGGGGGUAGUGGCUUACCAAGGCUUUGACGGGUGGCCGGCCUGAGAGGGUGACCGGGCACAUUGGGACUGAGAUACGGCCCAGACUCCUACGGGAGGCAGCAGUGGGGAAUAUUGCACAAUGGGCGGAAGCCUGAUGCAGCAGCGCCGCGUGCGGGAUGACGGCCUUCGGGUUGUAAAACGCUUUCGCCUGUGACGAAGCGUGAGUGACGGUAAUGGGUAAAGAAGCACCGGCUAACUACGUG